RNAcentral lists this ribosomal RNA (164 nucleotides) under Asterogyne martiana. Its description in RNAcentral is "5.8S ribosomal RNA". It matches the Rfam family "5.8S ribosomal RNA". From Rfam's summary of the family: 5.8S ribosomal RNA (5.8S rRNA) is a component of the large subunit of the eukaryotic ribosome. The record is from RNAcentral. Lineage: Eukaryota; Viridiplantae; Streptophyta; Magnoliopsida; Arecales; Arecaceae.
CGUACGGCUCUCGACAAUGGAUAUCUCAGCUCUUGCAUCGAUGAAGAACGUAGCGAAAUGCGGUACCUGGUGUGAAUUGCAGAAUCCCACGAACCAUUGAGUCUUUGAAUGCAAGUUGCGCCUGAGGCCAUCUGGUCGAGGGCACGCCUGCCUGGGCAUCACGC